UAAGGAAUAUUGGUCAAUGGACGCAAGUCUGAACCAGCCAUGCCGCGUGGAGGAUGACGGUCCUCUGGAUUGUAAACUUCUUUUAUUUGGGAAGAAAACCUCUGAUUAUUCGGAGCUUGACGGUACCAGAUGAAUAAGCACCGGCUAACUCCGUGCCAGCAGCCGCGGUAAUACGGAGGGUGCAAGCGUUAUCCGGAUUCACUGGGUUUAAGGGGUGCGUAGGCGGAUAGGUAAGUCCGUGGUGAAAUCUCUCGACUUAAUCGGGAAACUGCUAUGGAUACUAUUUAUCUUGAAUGUUGUGGAGGUUAACGGAAUAUGUCAUGUAGCGGUGAAAUGCUUAGAUAUGACAUGGAACACCAAUUGCGAAGGCAGUUAACUACACAAAUAUUGACGCUGAUGCACGAAAGCGUGGGGAUCAAACA
RNAcentral lists this ribosomal RNA (422 nucleotides) under uncultured bacterium. Its description in RNAcentral is "bacterial SSU rRNA". It matches the Rfam family "Bacterial small subunit ribosomal RNA", at positions 355 to 774 of the family's 1533-position model. The record is from RNAcentral.